Molecule: long non-coding RNA, 3041 nt
Filed under: Lynx canadensis (Canada lynx)
Lineage: Eukaryota; Metazoa; Chordata; Mammalia; Carnivora; Felidae
Description: lncRNA (ENSLCNG00005021576.1)
Source: RNAcentral
ACGUACACUUAGGUCAUCAUUUCUUUAUCUUUCACUGCUAGUUACCGACAACUUAGAAAAUGAGACUCCAGAACUGUGCCCACUUACGAGCUUCGGGAAGAAAUGUGAGACGGUUCCUUGUGAAGCAUUAUGGAUGUUGGUAAGUCGCACCUCCGCUGUUGCAGGUACUACCUGUCGAGGCUCCAGAAGGCUCAGGCAGUGGAGUGGGAUCUCCUCGCGGGAGUGUGUGCUUCCAUUCUGUUCGCCCGUCUUCUGAACCACGCUCAGGUAACCUGGCCCCCGGUGGUCCUGCCGAGUAUCAGCUCAAGGGGAAUCAUGACGCUGAACACGGACUAGAAACGCCCGCUGUGAGCCAGCCGGCAGCCACAGUGCAUGGUGGCACGAGGCGACGGGCACGGGCCUUGAAGCCCAGGCUGGGCCCCUCCUGUAUUGUCUUGGCUGACAUGUUUCGAUUGAGAUUUCUGAGCGAGAGUUGUCCAGUUGACCUCAGCUUUGCUGUAACUGCCACCAAGCAGUGGGAUCUUCUCCCCACACGCGCGGGCUGCUCCACACCCCUGUCCUCUUUUCCGCGGCCUUAGAAAUCACGACGCGUCCCGAGACGUGCCAGCGAGGGGCCCCCGGGGUUUCGGGUCCACUUUCAGUGUGGUGAGCGUGCUUCUCAGCUGUAACUCUCAGGCCGGGCUUUUUUCUUUCUUUCUGUCUUUUUCCAUUUACUCAGUGUUUAUUUGGUCCUUAGUCCAAACCCCUGCUACUGAGGAAGACAUGUUCCUGCCUCUCAGGGAGCACAGAGAAGCGUAAACGGACAACGCGACGUUGUGCUGGGAACACGGGGCCCCGGGCGAGACCAAGGGUGCUGUGACACGGGGAUCUAUUUGCAGGCUUGGUGUGGAGUCGGGGUCGCUCGGGGCUAGCUUCCCAGAGCUGAGCCAGAUGGGAGUAAGAGGAAGGAGAAGGGGCAGCAGGGAAGGCAACAGACGAUGCUGCAGGGAGGGAAGCAGUGCCUGCAGAGGUCCAGGGUCUGGAGGGAGGGUGGAGAAUUCCAGAAGCUGAUGCCGGGCAGCUCAGUCUGACCAGAGUUUGGAGUGCAGAGAGAUGCGGGGAUUGGGGCUCUCUCCACCCGGAUGGUAGUGUCCUGAAUUUAGUGUCCACACGUCUGUUAACCUCUGAAGUUUCUAGGUUCCUGUCCUAGACUCUGAUGGCGUUUUAGCAAUGGUCAUAAAACAAUGAUAAUAAUAACAAAUCCGUGUAAAGUCCUUUGAAUGUUUUGUGUUGCAUGCAGUGACUCUUUGAAUCUUUAUUAGAACGUUUUGAAGGAAUAAGUCAAGGGAUACGCAGCCCAGUUUGUAGUUUAGGAAAACCGAGAAGUAGGAGACGUUGUGAUUUACCCCACUUGUGGGGGCCGAAGCUGAAACUGCAGUCUCUUGCCUACAAAUCCCACACUCUUUCCCCAUAGACAGGUUGCGUUGGCCGAUUAGGCUGCAAGGAGACAGUUUUGUAUUCCCUUGCAGAAAACGCAAAACACAAAACACUGUUUCAGCCAUGCUGCCUGGCUGCCAUCAGGCCAGGUGUGGCCUGUGGCCCCAGGUUUUGGCGAAUGCCCCUUGGUCGUGCGCGUGCGCGGGGAGAGCAGAACGGCCUGCGCAGGUGGGACCCCGGUGGACGCAGGUCAGAAAGUGAGGGAUCGUCCACACCAGGCCUCCGUCCCCGACAAAACCCACCGUUGCAGAGUCUGGCCCUUCAUUGGCCCUUUGACCCUCAGCAAACUCCCCCAGGAGCGGAGCUGAAAGGCGGUGUUCGCUAGAACACAUUGGCCGUCCAGGCCCUGUCCCGAGGUUUGCAGGUUCACGUUCGUCUUGUUACAGACUCUACAGAAACCAACCUGGUUGUGGACGGGAUUCUGACUGUUCAGGAGGACGGAGGUGGAGGGCGGAGAAAGCCUGAGAUGAUCAUCUGAUUUUUUUCCCCACUCUGAACACCAGCAUUUCGCCUCUUUCCAGCUAGGAAGGAGUCUCCCAUCACAGGCACUCAAACAGAGCGAUGCUUUCGGGAAUAACCACCUCCUCAGCCUGCGUGUGCGGCAACAUAUAACACGUGUAAAAUGUGCGCACCGGGCCACGGGAGCACCCGGCCCGGAGCCCCUCCUCACUGAGUAGGACCGUUCAACGUCGCCUCGGUCCCACAUGCUCCUCUUUCUGUUCGUAGCAAAAUUCAGCCAUUUUCUGCUCCCGUGUUUUUCUACACUGGAUCUAGCCCUUCUUCGGCGGAGAAAUUCUAUCACUGAAGUCCUUGGUCUUUGAACCCGAAAAGUCCCCAAGAUCCAUUCUCUAUGGACAUGUCGUUCAUCUCCAAUGUGCUCACAGAAGUGCUUACAGCCUGCAUCUCUCUGCUUAAUCCCGGACAGCCAUUCCUUCGUUCAUUCAUUCCCUCGUUCAUUCAACUAUCAGUGAGUACCUAAUGCGUGCCGGGCAUUGAAGAUAAAAUGGUAACCACUUUACCACCCCUCUCUCCAUCUUUUUUUUAAGAGCAUAGAGCUACUGUCAAUAGCAGUAAUAAUAAAAACAAGGCCUGUGCCUUCAAGAAGUGUGUAGUUAGUAGGAGAGGUAAGUAACCAGACAGACUCGAGGCAUGGUCGCUGAAUGAAUGAAACCACGUCUGGGACAGUGGAGGGGCAGUGCAGGACGGGUUUACGGCCCAGGAACAGGCAGUCGGGGACCCUGUCGUCCUGCAGGACCUAAGACAAGGGCUUUGGCACAUGCGGUUUAUAGAGGGCAUGCCCUGAGGAGAGAGGGAGUAGGGAAGAACAGGGGGCAGGGGAAUAAGGAUAAGCAGGGAGACUAACUUCAGCUGAAAACAACAGCUGUUUCCUAAGCUCACGGUUCUGCUGGGCCGUUCCAGUCUGGACCAGACUCUGCUGAUGUCGGCGGGGCGUACUCAUGUCUGAGGUCGGUCGGUCAGUCAGCUGAGGCUGCCGGUUCCAGAGAAACACACGUACUCUUUGUACCACAGAGUUGGCCUCGCCUUGAGUCGGGGGGGGGGGGGGG